GCAGUUCGUUAGACGAUCACUUGCGUUUUGAACGUAAGAGGAAAGUCCGGGCAGCAAAGGACACGACAGUCGCUAACGGCGACCGGGGGAAACCCUAGGGAAAGUGCCACAGAAACGAGACUACCUUCGCAAGAGGGAAAAGGUGAAACGAGUGAGGUAAGAGCUCACAGCGUGACGCGGUGACGCGCCAUGGAGGUAAACCCUGUCGGCUGCAAGGAGAUCUGCAUAAAGAGUGGUCCGCUCGCAGGUCGAUACCCGCUCGACCGCUUGGGCAACCAGGUGGCUAGAUAGAUGAUCGUCCACGACAGAACCCGGCUUAUCGACGGACUGUCCAU
This 335-nucleotide RNase P RNA is filed under the name Candidatus Saccharibacteria bacterium 32-49-10. RNAcentral's name for it is "RNase P RNA component class A". It matches the Rfam family "Bacterial RNase P class A". Rfam says of the family: Ribonuclease P (RNase P) is a ubiquitous endoribonuclease, found in archaea, bacteria and eukarya as well as chloroplasts and mitochondria. Its best characterised activity is the generation of mature 5'-ends of tRNAs by cleaving the 5'-leader elements of precursor-tRNAs. The record is from RNAcentral. Lineage: Bacteria; Candidatus Saccharimonadota.